This is a long non-coding RNA of Monodelphis domestica (gray short-tailed opossum), 662 nucleotides long. RefSeq lists it as uncharacterized. NCBI's taxonomy places the organism in Eukaryota, Metazoa, Chordata, Mammalia, Didelphimorphia, Didelphidae. The record is from RefSeq and is a predicted model, not a curated record.
GUGAUAAUGACCCUAUGUUCUUGAAAGCUAUGCCUCUUGAAAGGACCUCAGUUCUAGCAGGUCCUACCAAUCUGAAAAGCCUUUGGAGACAGGUUGUAUAUUUUCUUCCCAAUGACCAGCCUGACUGAAUUUGGAGAAGUUCAGUAUCAGAUUGGCUGAAGGUCAAUGAAUUGUUUAGUCACAACUCUUCAAGACCAUCCGGAUGAAGAGGGGCAAAAUGUUUGAUAGACCACCUUCUAAUUAUCUAUUUCGAUUAGACAUAUCUUAGGACAGUGUUGGCAGAUGUUUUCAAGGUCACCUGCCCAAACUGCAACUUCAAGCUGCCUGUGAGCCCCCUACAUUACCUCAGACAGCAGAGGGAGGAAGUGCUCACAUUUGGGCAGCUGGACAGAAGGGUGGAACAUGCAAAAAAUGUACUUGGACACUGUGGAGGAGGGGAAUGGAGCAGCCCUCUCCCUGCCACCCCUGGCACUUGUGCCAUGACUUCACCAACACAGUCUUGGGAUGUUCAGGGGCUUGGGGGAGGGGGGUUGAAUAAUGAGCUCCUAAAACUCUAUUUAUAAAUCUGCCUAAGGGGCAUUCAGAGUCUUUGGUCAUCCAGAAGGACACUGACAUAUCAAUCUGGGCGACUUUAAUUAAUAAAUUGAAAUUCUUAACCCAAA